CAUGUCCUACAUGGAUUACAGCCGUAUAGCGCAUCAUAAAAGAAUGGUAGCCAACAUUUCGGCCACACCAAGGAGUAUGGUGGCAUGGUAUUUAUCGCAAGUCCUAUCCCAAACCAACAAAGCCGAUCAACUAUUGCAAUUCGCAGCUCUGCCCAGGGAAAGUACGUCACCUGACCUGUGAUUCGAAACACAACAUCGAAGUGGGCCCUGAACUAUCACUUGGAGCCGUUCAGAACUGGCUCUGGAAAUCAUUCAGUACGAAUAUCUGGAGAGAGCGGCACAACACAGAGAACGGCAGCAAAUAUCGAAAUCACAGGGAACAUAAAGUGCUGGAAUAAGAUGAAUCCAACUAUUAACAAUCCACGUUC
Long non-coding RNA from Drosophila miranda, 368 nucleotides. RefSeq lists it as uncharacterized. NCBI's taxonomy places the organism in Eukaryota, Metazoa, Arthropoda, Insecta, Diptera, Drosophilidae. The record is from RefSeq and is a predicted model, not a curated record. The transcript is spliced from 3 exons.